Anguilla anguilla (European eel) is the source of this 741-nucleotide long non-coding RNA. RefSeq lists it as uncharacterized. The transcript is spliced from 2 exons. The record is from RefSeq and is a predicted model, not a curated record. NCBI's taxonomy places the organism in Eukaryota, Metazoa, Chordata, Actinopteri, Anguilliformes, Anguillidae.
GCUAAGGGCUUGCCAUGGAAAAGCACAGAAACCCCUUCCACCUAGGCACCUACCAGUAGUGCAUCUCACACUAAACUGAGUACACGCUGCUUUGCAGAGCAACAUGUUUUGGGCGUUGACUGUAUCCCUUUGUGCGGUAUUUAUAGCUGACACCAUAUUUUGAAGAAGAAGAAGAAGAGGAGGAUUAUGAGAAUUGUUUUAAAGAGGACGUUUAUGCGAACAUGUAAUGGAACAAAGUUGGCUAGUCUUAAGAAAAACCUGCUGCUUUAACAUACGUGAUCCGGAGGCAGUUCAAGCGAUGACUAUGUAUUUAUAAGGCCUUUGUCACACUACAGGAAUUUUGAUUCAAAGUCUCCAUGCACACAUUUCACAUAUGAUACUUUUUUUAUUGGAUAUAGCUUGUGCGCGAUGUGAAUAAGGCUUGUGAUUUCUGCCAGCACGUUUAUUACUGAACGGCCAUGAAGAUGGAGGUUUUGGUAUCACAAGAAUCAUAAGAAGGGUUAAUUCUGUUCUCUAGUACGUGUGCUGGGUGCUUGGAAAAGAUCCUUUUGAUUUUUUAACGGUACAUUACUCGAUGUCUUAUUUCAAUAUUGUUUAUUAAUAUUGCCUUAUACUGCUUUGCAGGCCUACGUGUAUUGUCACAAAUUAUAUUACUAUAAUCGAGAGCGAAACAUUUAUAUUUAAUUCAUUGAUUAUUUUGUGUUCUGAGAAUAUCUUUGCUGCAAUAAAUAAUUCACGGUG